Pezoporus occidentalis (night parrot) is the source of this 6933-nucleotide long non-coding RNA. RefSeq lists it as uncharacterized. The transcript is spliced from 3 exons. Lineage: Eukaryota; Metazoa; Chordata; Aves; Psittaciformes; Psittacidae. The record is from RefSeq and is a predicted model, not a curated record.
GAGCUGUUGAUGCCCUCUACAUUGUGCCGCUUCACCACAUUUGGUGAAGGCAUCUCCAUUCUCUGAAAGCCAGCAGUGACUCAGUGAUAGUAAAAAAAUAAGAUAGGAUUUCAGGUGCUUUCUCUGGCAUCCUGUGUUUGAAAGGGGAUGUCCCUGUGCUGUACAGAGUGAGAUGAUUUGUUUACAAAGAUGCAAUAUAAAACAUACUUCAAAAUCUCUUGUUUUCGUAAGAACCUGUUUAUAUCUGUGAACUUUAAAAGUGAGACAUAAAUUAUUGGACACUGUCUGGUUAUGGCUGAAAUUUCUGAGGCUCUUUUGGCUCAAUUUGUCUGGGAAAAUGCCUGCAAUUUGGACCCAGUCUAAUGGCAGUUUCCCAUUGACUCCAGUUGGCAUUGUACCAAACCUUAGUGUUCUCUACAGCAGGCAAAUGCAAGAAUGAAGUAUUUCUGUGACUCUCUCUAGAAUCAUGAAUGCUGGUGUAACUUGGAGAUACUCUUGAGGUCUCCCUGAGCAUGCCUGCAUGUGCAUUUUCUGUGCAGGUAAGCAAUGACAGGCAAGAGACCAGGAACACAAGAAAGGGAAAAUAGUAGUUAGUUCCCAAGACAGUUUUGUCACAGCUUUAGAAAUAUCUAAGCAACCUGUCUAGCUCCACUCUGGAGAGCCAGAUAAAGCAUAUCUUCCUUCCCAUCUUCCUCUAGAACUCUAAUUGAGAAACAAAUAAAAUUUGUGUAACCUUAUAUAGCCACUGCCAUAACUCUGUGUAUCUGAUAGCAUCCUUUAUCUCUCACCAGCUGGAAGUACCGCAUUUUCAUAGCCCUGAAUCACCAAAUGCAUUCAUCAAACAUGACAAAUGCCUUCAGAACACUAAAUCACACCACUCGAUCUCAAUGGGCUACAUAAUCAUUGUCAUAGCGAUAAUAAAUAUAGGAAUAUCUGUGUUCCAGACUCAAAUAACUAUGGCUUCUACCAGGGCUGAGAAACUGCAGGGGGAAAACUGAAUCCUAAGUUAAGAGGUUUUCAGUGCUUCAAAAAUUUGAUAGAAACAUGAAUAUUUUGUGAUGUUUUCUGAUUUUUAUUUUUAGAAAAAAGUAUUUUGUUAUUCAGGUUAUAUCUUAGCAAGUAUAAAAAUUUAGAAGGGAAAAACUAUUUACUGCUCUCCUGAGGCGUUGCCAGUUCUGUGGCCUUGCCCAUGUACUGCUUCCUGAUGCUCUGGUGUCCCAGAUGACCCUCGCAUGCCUGAGGGUGGCAUUGUAAGGAGAUGCCAGUAUCUUUAUGGCUUCUGCAGGGAGAAAAAUGGAGCAGAGCAUCCUUUUCCUUGCUCUGUUUGAUGGCACCCUGCACCUGAAAGGCAGCAGCAGGAAGACACUGAAGUCAUCGCAGGUCACACUUGGUAUCACUUCAAAAAAGGAAAAGUUGGGCUAUGGAUGCAUGAGCAAAUUGCCUGAAGGAUCCCAUCUAUCAACUGACCUGUGAGAACUACGUCUUUUCUGCAGUGAAAGCCAGGCAGUGCAAGGUAACUUCAUAACCUUAAUUAAAUUGAUGCUCAUUCUCUUUCUUUGGAGUUGGUUUGGGAGCUAGCAAGAUAGUAUUACCUCAGAUAACCUUAUUUUAUCCAAGAGCACACCCAAGCAGAUUAUAGGCCACUACACUGUAAACUGUUUUUACUUCCACAGAGCCAGUAUUCCAUGGUCAGAGCUAAACCAGAUGUUUUAAAACUAGUUCAGUAGAAGAUGCAUGAAUGUAAACAUUUCCUCUUCAAUGUUCAUCACCCAAAGUCAAUACCCCUGUGUUUGUAUGUAGGAUUGCAAGAUGGAAACUUUGGUUUCAGUCCAUACAUGAAUCUUCAUUUUUUAAAAGUGCAUUUUUAUACAUGUAUGUGUGGACACAAAGACAUUGUGUGUGCACAGUAUCUCAAAAGCAAGUACAGCAUUUGCUGCUGUGCAGUCCUACAGCAUUUUCUUAUAUCUCUGCUUAGUGCUAUUUACUGCAUUUUUAAGUCAGGUCAAAAAGGAGACUUGUCUGGGAAUUUUCACUGUGUUUUUGCCACCCAGUUGCCACUAAAGCUGAGCAUGUGAUUUUGCUGUAAAAAAGAUGCUGAUUUGUCAAGAAUGCAAAACCUAUGCUGACAUCAGUGGGAGUUGGGUAUCUGGAAUGAUUAAAGACCAAAGCCAAUGAUAUGACUGCAUGGUAUUAGCCUGGGAUUUGGGAAAUGAGUACUCUUUGCUCUGCAAUUAGAUCUUCUUAAUAAGAGGCAGUUUAAGGUGACCAAAAGCCCAGUCCUGCUGAUCAUCUGCACUGUGAACUUCUAAAAUCAUAUCCCAGCAGCUCCCUAGUUUGCCCCUGCAAGUUGUGAAGAACACCCAGGUAAAGACAGCAGGUCUCCAGUCUGUCCUCACCUCCAGCCCUGUGUAUCUGGUAUGAUGGGCCAGGCUGUCCACCGGCAGCAACAGCCUUGUCCUCUUCCAGGUCCUCAUACUGUUGGUUCUCCUUCCAUGGCUCCUCAGGCAAGCUGAGCUCCCAGGGAGACUUGUGCAAGAAGGGCUUUCUCAGAGCCACAGAACCUCCCCAUAAGCAACAGCCUAUGGCUGGAGCUUCAGGCACUCUGGUAGCGCAGGUAGGUUAUAAAUCACAGACAUCCUCAGAGGCUCCUGUACCUUCAGAAAACAAGGGAGGACUGGUCCAACAUGCUCCCCCCUCUUUCUUAUUUGCUGGCAGUGGCUCAGGAGUAGAAGACAUAGGCAUAGACUGUAUGUGUGCAGGGGCUGGUUCAGACCUGCUGAAAUGCAAUUACCUUUGUGGUGCUUCAUCAGCGGUUUCCAUAUAAAGAGUAUUUUGGAAUGAGCAGAAAAAUGCUUUGUGCAAUGAAAAAAAUAUCAAAAAGGACUUGGGAUGGUAGAAUGUAAAUAACUAAAUGACCAAAUCAGUGUUCUCUUCUUGAAAGAGAUCCAUUACACAGAUGCUGUUGGAUAUAUUGUCUUUUGAAUGGCUCUGUCCUGUUCCUUCCUUGGCUGCCUGUAUUUCCUGCUCUGCCAUGACACUGCUAGGCUCCUGGCAUUGCCCCACUUGAUUUGUCCAAAUAACGGUCUUUCAAAGAAUAAUAGCCCUUUUACUCAAGGUUGAGAAAUGGCUGAAUCAGUGAAAGCAGUGCUUGGAAGUUUUCCUGAGAGGUUACUGUCUUGAGUACUGGUCAGAACCUCAUCUGGCUCAGCCUGUGAGAAAUGCUGACACUGCAAACCCUGAUGGUGAGAUUUCAGGCUGUAGUCUUUCCUGUUAAAAAGCCUACAGAUAACCUCCCUUGAUACAGCUUGAAAUAUUAACCUGCGUUCCUUCUGAUUUCCGCAAGUAAACCCCUUAACCUCUGGAUGUAAAGGUGCUUUCCCUAUCAGCAGCCAUCCAACCAAGAUGCAGUUUUCAAGUGAAUUUGCCAUUAAUGUGAUAGUGUAUGUGAAUGUCAGGUUUGUGUAAUGCUGUUAAAAAGACUGCUUUCACUUAGAUGGGCCCAGACCUUUAAAUCUGUAUUCUGGGUAUGUGUGGUCUAGAAUAGACAUGGUGUAGUCCGUGUCAGGUGCUGCAAAUGCAAACCUAUAUUACUGUUUUCAUUAAAAGCAAAUCUAGACCUUAACAAAGCAGCUGUAUUUUUGGCACCUAACUUAUUCUUUUAAAAAAUAUUUUUUUUUAAUUGAAUAAUGCUCAUAGUCAUUGAAUUUUGAGAAAUGCUCACACUUAGUGCUUUGACUUUUUCAUGGGAAUGUGUCACUAAAAGGAAAAGAUGUUACUUCAAUACUGGCCAAAGUACAAUUCAAACCCAGCCACUGUUGAUGUGAUACAGCUUUUCACAUGAGUAAAACAGUCCACCUUGCAGGAGCUCCAGGAGCAGGUUUGUUCUUUUAGAUUGAAUUAUUUUUGAAUCAUAAACAUUGGUCAGCUACAGUAAUUCGUCUGUUCUUUCUGUUGGUGCUAAAAAGAAUCUGCUUUUUUUACCUCUAUGAAGAUGCACAAUCAGAGCAUUCACUGAACAUCCAGUUUUGCUUGAAAUUUUGUGCUUCACAAUAUAUAAGAGUUUGAGAAAUGCUGAGAAACAGGGCAUUAAGUGUAGGACAUUGCAUCCAUCCACACAAGAGAAACUAAGUCCACUUUGUCUUAGCCUAGCUGAAUCAUCCAGGUUGCCAUAGACUUUGUGGCUGCCACAAGUGAUGGCUGUAGGUGGGUGUGCCUGUCAACUAAACUACCAAAGGAUUUGGUGGCUGGUGUGUGGUACAAUGGAUAAACCCUGCUUUUUCUGACAUCAGUACUGGUGCCUGGCAUUUGCAAAGCCCAUCUCUCUAGAAUGACCUUCACACAGUAUAUGGGAGCUUUUGAUCUCUUUGUAUGCUGCGAGAUGUGGAACUGUGUGAGAACAAAAUGUAGCGCAAAUAAAUGAUGACAUGAGAGGUACCAAGGUGCUGUGGGUUAAGGAGGCAGGAUUUGGAGUAGGAGAAAAAAAAUACCUAAUUUUCCAUCCAGCUCACCAGUCCCCUGUGUGCAGACUAAUUUUAGAGAUAAUUGUUACAUGAUUUCCUGAAUAUAAUCUAUUGUUAUCUGUGCCUUGCAAAAUAAAGCCAUGUCUAAUUCUGGAUAACCACAGAGGUGAUUUCAUAGUUACACUGAAAUGAGGAUAAGGACUUGUUAAUGAUCUUUAAAGAUCACAUCAUUUAAUUCUGUGCUCUUGGUAGUUAAACCAGACUAGUCACAAAGGGGUACGUGCUCCUUUUGUUGCAGGCAGCAGCCCCUGUUAAUUCCAGUGGGAGAAAGGAAGAUGCUUCUGAUCACACAUCUCACCUUGGUGUACCAAGUGUUUGAGACAAAGCAUGGGAUAAUUUGCUAUUUUUGUCUGCGUAACUCCUCUGCAACCUGGAGCAAAGAGUUUAAAGGCCAAGUCCUGCUGCUGCUGAGAGUGCUUCUGAAGUGCUAAGAGCCUCUGCCUCCCGACCAGCAAAUGUGUGACUUGUUCUGAAGCAGGAGGAAAUUACCAGCCAGAAAAUGCUCCCUCUCCAGCAGGGCAGUUGGGAACAAUGGGAGCUGCUGGGCACUCGAUGGGCUGAAGGUUAAAGAAAAAUGAAAACGAAAGCUAUGAAAAAGUAACAACAGCUCAGGAGGUGAUGCUGCAUUUUUCCUGCUUUCCAGUGUUUUCCUGGCUUCAGGUGUGAUUCUCUAGUGAAACUUUUGGGUUAACUUAUAGAGGGAGAGACAACCUAAGGAGCAGAAAACAGAAUCAUGCUCAUCUGUGGUUUCCAAUGGAGAGAAGAAGGGAGCAAUCAGUUCCCCUCUCUUCUCAAAAAUAGGUCCCAGGAGCCCAUCACAUUGAAGUAACAUGGUGAAGAGCUGAAGUCAUCCAACAAAAUAAAGUAAAUUAUUUUCAAUUACUGGAAAUGAGUAAUGGGUGAAGAAAAACUUAUGUUGUGAACAAAAACGAAAGAAAAUGAUCAGAAAAAGAACAACAAGUUGGAGAGACAUUUGUGACUUUUGUUUUCCAGUUGGUGCUUUCAUUUCACAGAUAGCUAAAAAAAAAGCCAUCUUGGAGGCUUUAGCAGAUUGGUAAGCCUAACUGGGCUGGACAAAAGCUACUAAAUCCCUUAAAUGAGUUUCUCAAAUGUUUAGUCAAUGAAACUUCUUUUGUAGGGUGAGUCACCCCCAAAAUAUAUUUUAAUGCCUUUUUCCUUUAAUUGCUUUGGCUAUAAAGUGGAAAAAAAAGCUCAUGGGUUUGUAGAGACCAUCAAACCAGUCCCACCUGCACCAGUAGGUUAGAAUUUACAACCAGCUUAACUAGCUCUGUGGUAUUUGUAUUCAAUAAAAGGUAAAACUCUCUUAUGAGCUGCUUCUUUUUUUAAUUCUGCUUUUUUUUUUUUUAAGCCUAUGAGGCACAUAAAAUGCAAUUCACAGCAGAAGGAUGGUAAUUGGGAGAAAAUGUAAUGGAUGGUCCACAUUUCUCUUUGAAGUUCCCAUUGAUCAGUGUUGCUGAGACUAUUUUUCUAAUCCAUAACUCAGAAACAUGAAGGAACUGCCACUUUAUGCUUUGGGUAUAUGUGCUUCACCUGCUAAGGAAGCAGAUCUGGACUCCUGAGAAGCUUUUAUUCAGCUUUUUCUUUUCAAGAUGGUGAAAAAUGGGCAAGAAUCAGGCCCCCAGUUCUGGUGUUUUCUUGAAUACAAAUUUUCCUGACAUUAACCAGAGCAGUAGUUGUUUGGUGAUUUCUUUUUUAUGUCUGAAUUUUGUGUAAGACAACUACAUCCAAUAUCUUCUAGUCAAAGAAUGUGCUUUCAGCCAAUUCAGAGUUAAUUAGGAGAUGUUACCCCACCUCCUCCCCAGUGGACAGGCAGCUUGUGUUGAAAAAACAAGCCUUUCACAAACAGGGAAAAGCCAUCUGUCCAAAACAUGCUUAGGAAAAAGGUUUUUUUUAAUGCUUCCAUUAGCUGAAUUCACAGGUAAUAGUUUUCAUAGUGGAGCCAGUUAGUAGGAUAAAUUUUCAUGUCCCUGACUGAUACAGAUGUGAUGGCAAACCAGACGAAGUAGCUGUGGCAACAGCUGUUGGAAGGGUCAGGGAGUCACAGCCAGACACUUAACCAGCACUGGGACCACAGACAGAAAUGUCUGUGGAAUUGUGUACGUGCAGGAAAAAUGUCUUGGUGUUGAAGGUGCUGUUUGCAUUGAGAAAAUAGUUUCUCUGCAUGGUCAGGCACUGCCAGGUCUUGAUCUCUUUGCAUUUCAUAAUCUCAACUGAAAAGCCACCUUUCUUGGCAGAAGUUUCCAAAGAGAAAAUACAUAGGACUUUGAGGAUCUCUCUGCUGGGGUCAAGAAUACUAUUAUAUCCUUUGCCACAGUCAGACACUUCAGGACAACCUCUAGUCAUUGUGGAAGUGCAUAGUACAAUCCAAAUGGAAACAAAAACAAUUAAAUAU